Oreochromis aureus is the source of this 798-nucleotide long non-coding RNA. RefSeq lists it as uncharacterized. The transcript is spliced from 3 exons. The record is from RefSeq and is a predicted model, not a curated record. NCBI's taxonomy places the organism in Eukaryota, Metazoa, Chordata, Actinopteri, Cichliformes, Cichlidae.
AGGAGAGUGCUUCUGAGUCAGCCACAACCAAAGCUGUCAAAUGCUUCAACAUUUUCAAUCAUGAUAGCUGGCCAGAGAACAAAGAGGAUUUAGUGGACCAUGGUGCUGAUGACCUUGCUUUUCUCUUGGAUCACUUCUCCACAGUCCUGAGAAGAAAUGGUGUAAAUGCAGAGCUUGCAAAAGAAGAGUUUGUAAGUUUGAAGCUGUUAAUUGCCAAGAUGUUCAAAGACAAGACCUACCUCAGCCUUUGGGAGCUCAUGUUGACCAGAGAGCCGUACUGCUCAGAGUAGAAGAACAUCCUGCAUCUUGUACACAUUAUGCUGGUCCUACCUGUCUCAGCUGCGGUAUGUGAAAGAGGGUUCUCUGCACAGAAGAGAAUUAAAUCAGACACAAGAGCAUCCCUUCAUUCAGAGACAGUGGAUGACCUGAUAAGAAUCAGUGUGGAGGGGCCAAGUCUGGAAGAUUUUGAUGCUAGAGAGAGUGUGGCAAGCUGGUUCACCCAAGGUGAAAGAUCAAGAAGGCCAAAUUACAGGAGCUGGCCAUCUGAGGGGCAUGUGACUGCAAUGGAGGACAGUCCAUAAGAUAACAAGUUGUUCGGAUAUUGAAAUGUUCAGAUUGAAGCCUUUGACACUUUGAGUAACUUUUUAAUUUAGAUGUUUUUUUUAUUUAAUAUAUCUUGAGAUGUUUUAAAUUUCUUUAAUGUUGAAAUUUCAGCUCAGUGAAGAACUUUAAGCACAAGCAUGUUUAAGUAAUCUUUCUUGUAGAACUUUGCUACAAAUAAAGAGCUUUGUGUUGAAA